Molecule: ribosomal RNA, 289 nt
Filed under: uncultured bacterium
Lineage: Bacteria
Description: partial 16S ribosomal RNA
Rfam family: Bacterial small subunit ribosomal RNA
Source: RNAcentral
CCUACGGGGCGCAGCAGUAGGGAAUCUUCCACAAUGGACGAAAGUCUGAUGGAGCAACGCCGCGUGAGUGAAGAAGGGUUUCGGCUCGUAAAGCUCUGUUGGUAGUGAAGAAAGAUAGAGGUAGUAACUGGCCUUUAUUUGACGGUAAUUACUUAGAAAGUCACGGCUAACUACGUGCCAGCAGCCGCGGUAAUACGUAGGUGGCAAGCGUUGUCCGGAUUUAUUGGGCGUAAAGCGAGUGCAGGCGGUUUCAUAAGACUUAUGUGUAAACCUUCUGCUCCACCCGGGA